CGGGUGAGUAACGCGUGAGGAACCUGCCUCAAAGAGGGGGACAACAGUUGGAAACGACUGCUAAUACCGCAUAAGCCCACGGCUCGGCAUCGAGCAGAGGGAAAAGGAGCAAUCCGCUUUGAGAUGGCCUCGCGUCCGAUUAGCUAGUUGGUGAGGUAACGGCCCACCAAGGCGACGAUCGGUAGCCGGACUGGGAGGUUGAACGGCCACAUUGGGACUGAGACAUGGCCCAG
RNAcentral lists this ribosomal RNA (233 nucleotides) under uncultured bacterium. RNAcentral's name for it is "partial 16S ribosomal RNA". It matches the Rfam family "Bacterial small subunit ribosomal RNA", at positions 103 to 334 of the family's 1533-position model. The record is from RNAcentral.